AUGAUGCCCAGCUUGCUGGGUGGAUUAGUGGCGAACGGGUGAGUAACACGUGAGUAACCUGCCCCUGACUCUGGGAUAAGCGUUGGAAACGACGUCUAAUACUGGAUAUGACUGCCGGCCGCAUGGUCUGGUGGUGGAAAGAUUUUUCGGUUGGGGAUGGACUCGCGGCCUAUCAGCUUGUUGGUGAGGUAAUGGCUCACCAAGGCGACGACGGGUAGCCGGCCUGAGAGGGUGACCGGCCACACUGGGACUGAGACACGGCCCAGACUCCUACGGGAGGCAGCAGUGGGGAAUAUUGCACAAUGGGCGAAAGCCUGAUGCAGCAACGCCGCGUGAGGGAUGACGGCCUUCGGGUUGUAAACCUCUUUUAGUAGGGAAGAAGCGAAAGUGACGGUACCUGCAGAAAAAGCACCGGCUAACUACGUGCCAGCAGCCGCGGUAAUACGUAGGGUGCAAGCGUUGUCCGGAAUUAUUGGGCGUAAAGAGCUCGUAGGCGGUUUGUCGCGUCUGCUGUGAAAUCCCGAGGCUCAACCUCGGGCUUGCAGUGGGUACGGGCAGACUAGAGUGCGGUAGGGGAGAUUGGAAUUCCUGGUGUAGCGGUGGAAUGCGCAGAUAUCAGGAGGAACACCGAUGGCGAAGGCAGAUCUCUGGGCCGUAACUGACGCUGAGGAGCGAAAGCGUGGGGAGCGAACAGGAUUAGAUACCCUGGUAGUCCACGCCGUAAACGUUGGGCGCUAGAUGUAGGGACCUUUCCACGGUUUCUGUGUCGUAG
RNAcentral lists this ribosomal RNA (772 nucleotides) under Curtobacterium sp. RNAcentral's name for it is "bacterial SSU rRNA". It matches the Rfam family "Bacterial small subunit ribosomal RNA", at positions 69 to 851 of the family's 1533-position model. The record is from RNAcentral. Lineage: Bacteria; Bacillati; Actinomycetota; Actinomycetes; Micrococcales; Microbacteriaceae.